AGAGUUUGAUCCUGGCUCAGGAUGAACGCUAGCGACAGGCCUAACACAUGCAAGUCGAGGGGCAGCGGAGAGGUAUCAAUACCUUUGCCGGCGACCGGCGCACGGGUGAGUAACACGUAUGCAAUCCACCUGUAACGAGGGGGAUAACCCGGAGAAAUCCGGACUAACUACCCCAUAAUAUGGGCGCUCCGCAUGGAGAGCCCAUUAAAGAGAGCAAUUUUGGUUACAGACGAGCAUGCGCUCCAUUACG
RNAcentral lists this ribosomal RNA (250 nucleotides) under uncultured bacterium. RNAcentral describes it as "partial 16S ribosomal RNA". It matches the Rfam family "Bacterial small subunit ribosomal RNA", at positions 8 to 245 of the family's 1533-position model. The record is from RNAcentral.